ACUGUUCAAAUUUGAAUUUAAGUAAGAUUUAACAUGUUCAAAGUUCUCUUGAUAUUUGGUUAAUUAACCUUUGGUACAAGUAAGAAAAAUUUACUGCUCAUGCCCAAAGAAAAAGCCGGUGGUUUGAGCAUUCAUGUAGACCUGAUGGAAUUGAACCAGAGAGUUGGUUGUAAGCCCAAUAAAACCCUUGGAUUUUUGGAAUCCGGAUUAACAAGUACCCUCAUGCCGGUAAAGGUGAAGAAGUUGCCGGUUAACUGCUCAUGCCCAAACACGUGUCUUUUAGAACCUUGAAAGCCGGUGGUAGGGGAGCAUUAACAAGUACCCUCAUGCCGGUAAAGGUGAAGAAGUUGCCGUCAAGUGAUGUCAUGUUUGCCGGAGCUAUGAAGUCGGUGAGGAUGUCCGGAUCACCGGCCAUUGUUAUUUGGACAAUGGCUAAUGAAGAUACUAGUAAUAACAAGAAUUCAUGGCAAAAAGUUCUUGAUAUUAAUAUUGCCAUUGUAUAUAUGUAUAUAUAUAUAUAGCCUAAUUAAUAUGUAAGAGUUGAUUAAUAGUAGUAUGAUUUUGGUAU
Molecule: long non-coding RNA, 568 nt
Filed under: Panax ginseng (ginseng)
Lineage: Eukaryota; Viridiplantae; Streptophyta; Magnoliopsida; Apiales; Araliaceae
Description: long non-coding RNA (PGIN_LNC012740)
Source: RNAcentral